UGUGAGUAACUCUCAAAAUUCUCUCUCGGAUAUAACACACAAAAGAAUUGUUUUUGUGUUGGUGUAUUUUAGCUUGCUCCCGAAUGGCCUUUAUAUAGGCAAAGAAUGUGGUGAAAAAGACAUGGUUGGUGGGGUUGGUGACCUACCAAUUUGAACAUUGUUUUUGUGUUGGUGUAUUUUAGCUUGCUCCCGAAUGGCCUUUAUAUAGGCAAAGAAUGUGGUGAAAAAGACAUGGUUGGUGGGGUUGGUGACCUACC
RNAcentral lists this long non-coding RNA (257 nucleotides) under Nicotiana benthamiana. Its description in RNAcentral is "long non-coding RNA (NBEN_LNC014113)". The record is from RNAcentral. Lineage: Eukaryota; Viridiplantae; Streptophyta; Magnoliopsida; Solanales; Solanaceae.